UGGGCAAAAGUGUACACUACAGUUGAGGAU
Molecule: non-coding RNA, 30 nt
Filed under: Homo sapiens (human)
Lineage: Eukaryota; Metazoa; Chordata; Mammalia; Primates; Hominidae
Source: RNAcentral